CAGUCGCCACGGUAAGACAGAGGAUGCAAGCGUUAUCCGGAAUGAUUGGGCGUAAAGCGAGCGCAGGCGGUUAGAUAAGUCUGAAGUUAAAGGCUGUGGCUUAACCAUAGUACGCUUUGGAAACUGUUUAACUUGAGUGCAAGAGGGGAGAGUGGAAUUCCAUGUGUAGCGGUGAAAUGCGUAGAUAUAUGGAGGAACACCGGUGGCGAAAGCGGCUCUCUGGCUUGUAACUGACGCUGAGGAGCGAAAGCGUGGGGAGCGAACAGGAUUAGAUACCCCCGUAGUCCCUGUCUCUUAUACA
RNAcentral lists this ribosomal RNA (301 nucleotides) under uncultured bacterium. Its description in RNAcentral is "partial 16S ribosomal RNA". It matches the Rfam family "Bacterial small subunit ribosomal RNA", at positions 509 to 808 of the family's 1533-position model. The record is from RNAcentral.